This is a long non-coding RNA of Astatotilapia calliptera (eastern happy), 1103 nucleotides long. The record is from Ensembl. Lineage: Eukaryota; Metazoa; Chordata; Actinopteri; Cichliformes; Cichlidae.
GCCCCAUCUCAGCAGGAGCAGAUAAACAGGGAGCCAAGGUCGUAGCUUAGGCACCGUGUGAGAGAAAGCAUGUGAAUGUUUAGGCUUUUAUGAUAAGGUGGGAGAACCAGAGGCUAUAAGAGUUUGAUCAAUGCUCCACCAUUUGGAGAUCUGAGGCUGUCUGCAUACAGUGUCCAUCUCCCACGCGUGUGAUCAUUAAAAUCAUCGUUUGACUUGACCCGGCCGGACCAGUGUUGUUAUUGUGGUUUUUUCUCUUGUCUCCAUCCCCAAUAUUUUGAACUAUAACAAUACAAAUAUAUUUAGUCAUCUUUUCUCUUUUACCACGUCUCUCUAAUAUUUUGCUCCUUACUAUUUUUCUAUUUUCUUUAUUAUUUUGUUUUAUUUUCUUAUAUUUUCUCCUACUGUAUCAUGCUGCUGAGUGACUGCUGCUCGUCAAACACAUUUCAUUGCAAUGUUGACCCUGUGCUAACUUGCAUAUGACAAAUAAAACUGAAAAGUGAAUUGUCUUUUUCUUUCUAAGUUGGCCUACUUUUUUUUAGUUUUGUUAAUAUUGGCAGUAGUGAGAAGUGUUAUUGCUGGGCUUGAAUAUAUUUGAUAUAGACCAUCCAAUUAAGGUAAAUGUUUUCACUUGUUGGAAUCUAAUGAGAAAUAUUUUAUUUUAUUUUUUGUUGUUUUGGUUUUUUGCUUAUCUGUUUCCCCCUGAGGGAUUGCCACCUUAACAUGGUCAGGGGGGUUGUGUGCCUCAGUGACGCUAAAAGCUAGACCAGCAGAAGCUUAGCCUUCAGGUGGGACACCCAAGUUGGUCAGGCCCUUUUAGGGUAGAGGCCUGAACAAGUACAGUCCAAUUACAUGACAAAGACUGUUAUCCAGAGCACUCCACCCAACCCCCACCCCUUUGCCACCUCCGUUGCCACCACGUGCCCCCUCAUAUAUGCCUGUCUGGAACCGGCCCAGUUACACACACGCUUAUUCUGCCUGACAUUUGUGGUGAAAAAUCCGAGAGUUACACAGCAUCCCUUAACAAACAAACCUAUGUAGAAUUACACAAACUAUGUCUCCAAAAGUUGCUUCUGUUCAUCUGGACGCAGCGUUUUGUGGGAGAA